Non-coding RNA from Acanthosepion pharaonis, 94 nucleotides. The record is from the annotation of a GenBank genome assembly. NCBI's taxonomy places the organism in Eukaryota, Metazoa, Mollusca, Cephalopoda, Sepiida, Sepiidae.
GUUGAAACAUCAAAUUCCGUACGAACACUGAAGUUAAGCAACGUCGAGUCUGGUCAUUACUUAGAUGAGAGACUCCUUGGGAAUAUCACGUGUU